RNAcentral lists this transfer RNA (50 nucleotides) under Iochroma edule. RNAcentral describes it as "tRNA-Phe". RNAcentral also lists the same sequence under 3 other names. Lineage: Eukaryota; Viridiplantae; Streptophyta; Magnoliopsida; Solanales; Solanaceae. The record is from RNAcentral.
GUUGGUAGACCAGGGGACUGAAAAUCCUCGUGUUCCCAGCCCCAAUCUGG